Molecule: long non-coding RNA, 449 nt
Filed under: Solanum tuberosum (potato)
Lineage: Eukaryota; Viridiplantae; Streptophyta; Magnoliopsida; Solanales; Solanaceae
Description: long non-coding RNA (STUB_LNC009685)
Source: RNAcentral
GGUUAUAAUACAUUUUUCCUUGUGCACAUGGCGUAUUGCUAAGACCAAGCAUGUGGAAGUGAUUUUCCGUAGAGAACCACACAGUCACGAGAAUUUCUGCCACAAUUUUAUUAGUGCCUUUAAUUUGCAAGAAUGUCUUGAUUUGUUUUCCUUGAGAUUUUGAGUUGUUGCAACAUUUAGUUGUAUAGUAGAUCACCAUCAAUCUGAAUCUACUACUCAAAUUGGUUGUCCCUCUUUUUAACUCUUGAGAAAUGUAGCAUCGUAUUUCAUUUUCUUAAUUUCUUUUAAUCCCUAUCUGCCCUUCUAGAGAGAUUUAUGUAUUAGAAUGAGUGUUGGUUAACCUGGAUGUAUGUGGUUAGUUCAUUUUGAUUUUAUCUUAGUCUUGAUUUCUUAAAGCUGCAGUUCAGAUUAACUACUCAACAAUAACUAUCGGGACCAGUGAUUUGAUC